RNAcentral lists this ribosomal RNA (253 nucleotides) under uncultured bacterium. RNAcentral's name for it is "partial 16S ribosomal RNA". It matches the Rfam family "Bacterial small subunit ribosomal RNA", at positions 524 to 776 of the family's 1533-position model. The record is from RNAcentral.
UACGUAGGGUGCGAGCGUUAAUCGGAAUUACUGGGCGUAAAGCGUGCGCAGGCGGUGAUGUAAGACAGAUGUGAAAUCCCCGGGCUCAACCUGGGAACUGCAUUUGUGACUGCAUCGCUGGAGUGCGGCAGAGGGGGAUGGAAUUCCGCGUGUAGCAGUGAAAUGCGUAGAGAUGUGGAGGAACACCGAUGGCGAAGGCAGCCUCCUGGGCCAGCACUGACGCUCAUGCACGAAAGCGUGGGGAGCAAACAGG